GAUGAACGCUGGCGGCGUGCUUAACACAUGCAAGUCGAACGGAAAGGCCCAAGCUUGCUUGGGUCCUCGAGUGGCGAACGGGUGAGUAACACGUGGGUGAUCUGCCCUGCACCUCGGGAUAAGCCUGGGAAACUGGGUCUAAUACCGGAUAGGACCACUUCUUGGAUGUUGUGGUGGAAAGUUUUUUCGGUGUGGGAUGAGCUCGCGGCCUAUCAGCUUGUUGGUGGGGUAAUGGCCUACCAAGGCGUCGACGGGUAGCCGGCCUGAGAGGGUGUACGGCCACAUUGGGACUGAGAUACGGCCCAGACUCCUACGGGAGGCAGCAGUGGGGAAUAUUGCACAAUGGGCGCAAGCCUGAUGCAGCGACGCCGCGUGGGGGAUGACGGCCUUCGGGUUGUAAACUCCUUUCGCUAGGGACGAAGCGUUUUGUGACGGUACCUGGAGAAGAAGCACCGGCUAACUACGUG
RNAcentral lists this ribosomal RNA (467 nucleotides) under uncultured bacterium. RNAcentral's name for it is "partial 16S ribosomal RNA". It matches the Rfam family "Bacterial small subunit ribosomal RNA", at positions 28 to 507 of the family's 1533-position model. The record is from RNAcentral.